Rhododendron vialii is the source of this 4927-nucleotide long non-coding RNA. RefSeq lists it as uncharacterized. NCBI's taxonomy places the organism in Eukaryota, Viridiplantae, Streptophyta, Magnoliopsida, Ericales, Ericaceae. The record is from RefSeq and is a predicted model, not a curated record. The transcript has 4 exons.
CUUGCUGUAUGAUUUCUGAGCCAAACAUCUUUGUUAUUGCUGUGCGAUUUUCUGUAAGAACUUUUGUUCGAUUACAGUUUUCUAUGUUUUUUGUGAUUUUGUAUGCUUGAUCGGUCCUGUUUUUGAUCUCCAUUGAUUAUAGGGUGGGGUUUUGCUAGGAAACGAGAAAAAAUAGAGUGCGAAUGCAGUUAAUGUACUAAUUUUAGGCAUGAUUAAGUGGCAGCAUUGACGCCCAAGUCAACGUAUUCCAUGACCCGCCGACCCUAAUAGUAGCUUGCCCCAAGUUAACGUCCUCCAUGUAAGAGAGGUAUUUCUAUAACGUAGGAUGGCUUUAUGAAAUAUGAUACAAGGUUUUAUUGUCAUGAUUUUUCAUCCAAAAAAAACCCAGGUAACAAUAGUAGAUUGGUUAUGUUGGAGGCAGGAAGAGGAGUUGAGGAGGUGACUAUUCUGUUGAGGAAAAAAUGAUUAUCUAAAACUUGGAAAAUGUGGCAAAUGGAGUGGCAUGGACGUUUGACUAAUUGUGAUGGUAGUUUUUCCCUUAUCCCCUAUAAUUGUGAUGGCAUGGAGUGACAUAGAAAAUGUGGCAAGAUAGAAACUUUUUUUUUUUGGUUUUCUAAACAAGGCUUGUGGCUCCGUCUAGGCUUUCCACAAAAUCACCCUCUGUUGGCCCUCUAUUGCAAUUGUUUCAACCUCGAUGCCGAGUAAGCGUGUUCGUCUUCUAUCUACGUUCCACAAUUAUAUCCCCCUGUUUUGAAUGAUUGUCUGUACAUACUUGAAUGCUAUAAGGUUUGCAUAAUUGACUGAUUAGUAUGGCUCAGUUAGUUUAUUGGGUUUGUUUGAUUACGUAUUGGUGUUGGUAUGUUAAUUGACUUCACUUUUGUCUAGAGCUAUCGUGUGUGAGUGGUUAGCCAAAGCCACCUUGCUAUCCAAAUUAGGGGUCCCUUCUGAUCAGAUAUCGUGAAUGGCACAAUAGAAGGGCAAAUUAUUUUGGGGGAGGGUUGAAUUUCCCUAUUCAUUUACUUUCUUUUGACAUGACUCACAUCCAGAGACGGAACCAUGAUUUCAUAAACACAGGGGCCGAACUUGAUUUUGUCUCUGCUCACAUCCCUUCAUUACUCUGAUAGAGUUGCUUUAGCCAAAUAAAGCACAAAAUGUACGUAAAGUAGAAGAUUAACUAAAAAUUUUUUAUGCAAACAAAUAUUCAUAUAACAAGGGAAGGGGGGUAGAAGAUUACCUACCUACUCUCAUAGAUUGAAGUUUGGCUAUUGACAUGUAUUUCCCCCCUUCAUUGAUUUUUCUUCUCUGUUUUUUUGUGUCUACAAAAUUGUUAUUGUCUACUUUUAACCAAACUACGUGAAAUUGAUGUACAGAAGUUGAUUAAGGUUAUUUGGAUGCAUAGACGUUGAUUAAGGUUAUUUUUCCUUCCUUUUGCAGGUAUACACGGCAUGCAUAAAAUUAGUGCUGAAAACAGGAAGGUAAGAAAUUUCCAGUUCUCUACUUUUAUUGCUUUCUAUACUUUUAUUUUUCCCUUCUUGGGGCUUUUUUGUGUGGUUCUUUCUUUUUCCUUAAUAUUCUUUCACUCUCUUUAAUUAAUUAUCUAAGUGUGAGGUGUCGGGACAAACAAAUCUUUCUUUUUUCAUCUUCUUCAACAUAUGUAACACAGACACGGACAUUGUUAUCAGUGUCUCUGUUGUAGUGGACACGUAAAGUCCCAUAUGUGCUCCCGCAUGUUGUGUAUCCCCGGAGUGUUUGACACGAAUACGGCAAUUUCUUAGAGUGUCGGUGCUUGAUAGUUUUCAACUAUUCAUUCCCAUUUCCUUAUAGUUAUUGCAAUUUAAUAAAUCAUCUAUUUUGGUUAAUUUAUAUUGGCAGUGUAUUUGUAGCUGAUCAUGGUGCUAUGGGGAAGCAAAUCAGGCUAUCCUUUGCUCACUUGAGGUAUUACACUGGAAAUACUACGCAUGCCAUUUAAAGUCGAUGGUUAUGAAACUCUUCUUAAAUUUGGUUUGAUCACAUUGGGUAGGCGAUUGAAGGGAAAGACAUUUAUUUUGUUUAUCUUUUAAAAUAGUACUUAGAUGGUUCAAAUUUCUUCAAAAUGAAUUUAUUUUCCCGUUCUUCUCAUUGAUUAGCAUUGCGUCCAUAGAUUUAAUGUAAAAAGAUAUAGUUUGUGACAGUAGGCUCCCAAUUUUUUAAUGAAUUGAUUAAGAAUUCUAUAAUAAAACAAAGCUAUGUUUGAAUCCAAAAGACAACCAACGCUCUAGAUUUAUCCCCUCUUCUACGUAAAUCUUUGCCCUCCAUUCUACAAAAUGGCAUGCCGUAAAUACUUAACUUUUGAGAGACAUUUUAGCAAGGGGGGAAGGAAUCCCAGAAAAUAUUCUCUCUCCCACACACGUUGAUUUUGAAAAUCCAGACCUCAUCUCUCCUUCUCCUCCUUCUAGGUCUCCUCCCCUCUAUCCAUCCGAAGUCCAAAAGGCAACCAGAGAAAGUGGAAGAAACCAACGAAUUGGGGGAAAGGUCAAGUUUCUCGCAAUCUCUCACUCUCCAUGUUUUCUUGGCAAGUUCUCUCUCUCUCUCUCUCAUCUUCUUCUUCGGUGAGAGGUCCUUCGAUUAUAUCUGUUUUCUUUAUUUUUUUAUUUUUUUAUUUCAAUCAUCUUUUUUGUUUCUCGAAGAAAAUAUGUGGUGGAUUGAUGAUUUGUGUUUUGAUGGGUUCAAUUAUGGGUUGAUUUGUGUUUGUCAGAGUUAGUGGUCCUUUACUUGAAACGAGAAUCAUACAUCACCAACACAUGAUCUGGAACAAUAUAAGAGGCAACUUCCCUAUGUACAUAAACAGCCUUUGUAAGUUUCAUUUUUAAUUUGUUCAGUACCCUUUUCUGUUUUGAAGUUUGCAAUUAUUGCUGGUUUUUUUGGUUUCUUAUUAAUCACACAUGGCAUACGUUCAUUGCAUUCAAGGUAUUUGUUAAAAUGCAUGGUAGAAAUGAAAUUAUAGAACUCCAUUUAGACAUCUAAAAAAAAUGAAAUUAUAGAACUGAAUAAUUAGCAUCAGGGGGCAAGGAAACAAAAGCAACAAAAUUUAUGGGCUUCCUGAUAUUUUCUGUUGGUAACUUCUCAAAUGUUUUUUUUGGGUAAGUUCUUGAAUAGUUUCGUUGGUAACUUUACAUAAAAUGCUUCGACCACAAUUUAUAUGCUUUCGUUAGUAUAAAGUUGCGUGUGGAUUUUCUCCCUUAAUUUGUGCACUUCCAAUCGAACUGUUGUGAAUGUGAUUGUGCGUUAGUUUUUGGAGGAAGGUUAUGAAAAGAAGAAAAUACAUUUCAAAGACAUUGAAUAAAUAUUAAGUUGCAGUUACGUGCACGUAGUAGUAGGUGCCCAUCUUCUAUGGGUGACUCUCUUGCAAUGGUCAAGUGGUGAGACGGUGAACCGGUCGGCAACCUGUCAGUGAGGCGGUUGUCAGUUCCAUUGGUGCAUUCUUAAACCUAAGCAUUGACAGUUACCGUCCAUACCUGUUACUCGCACCUACGCUCAUAGACUGCUCUAAAGCUCUGCCAAUACUGCCCACACCCACUAUAGUCACUGUCCAAACAAGUUUAUUUCUUGCUGAAUAUGAAUUUCGAUUUCAUUUUUUAUUUCAUUUGCACGUUGCAUCUGAUGAAGCUCACAACACUCUCUUAUAGAGACGAUACAAUAUCAGCCACAAUAAGAGAAACAUUCAAAGAGCCUCUUUUUGAUGUUAUCGAAAACUACUUACUUUUCCACACUUUAGGUUUUUGGUAUAUCUAUGAUGGGGAUCGAAUUAUUCGCAUUGUUGGUGAGGUGCAGUACGUCAGCAAGUAGAAUGCUAAGGUCUAAGUGAAUUAACUUUUGCUUUAUGAUAUGUACGAGUUUAGGGUUUGUUCAUUCCCAUGGCAUAGAUCGAUAGACACCGAUUACAUAUGUUAUUCAUGUUGUCAUAGGUACGAGUGCUUCUCAGGUUAGGGUUUCUCUCUCCAAGGGAUUUCUUCUCUUUCCGAGCACCACCAAUUGUGGCCAAUCGAACAUUGCGCUCACCCUAGUUGCGGGAACAACCGAGGUCAAAGGUAACAACUCUCCCACCAUCACUGGUAAACAAAUGGGUUUCAUAUGGAUUUUGUUAAAGAUUAUAGCUUUCCAUUUGAGCAAAUAGUUGAACAACCGAGGUCAAAGGUAACAACUCUCCCACAACCGACAUAUUACAUCCAUCCUAUAAUUUAGGAACCUGGAUGCUAUGGAGAUUAUGGGCGAGGCUAUUCAUCAUGAAGUUCCUGGUGGAUAUGAGGGAGGGUUUGAUUCGUCCUACGGGUGACCAUGAGAUUUUUGUGUGGGUUGGGAUGUUUAGGUGCAUUCAUUACAGGAGGAAAUGCAAAAUCAGGACAUCCUAUUUUGAUGAGAUUUUUUUAUUGUAGGCAUUGCCAUAGGGAAGCAAAGGUGUGGUCUUUAUCCUUUUUUUUGGAACCAGUCAAUUUUAUAAAGGGACAAGACUAUAAUGCCAGUGAGUCACAUUGUGCUUGAUAUAUGAUUAGUUUUUUGGGAUGCAUAAAGGUCUAGGAGUUCUGAAAUAAUGCAGGAUUGCAUGGUAUAUUGUGAUGGUUAUUGAUGUAGGAAUUGACUGUGUUCAAUUUGUAGGCUGAUCUUGGCUUACUUUUAUUGAUGUCUUGCCUAUAUUGAUUCAUAGAGGUGUGUGAUGGGAUGAAGAUCUUGGGGUGCCCGUGAUGUGAAUUUUAAGCAAACAUCGAUUACAUUGUCGAUUUUGCCAAAUCAACGCAGGUUCACAUGGAUCUCAUCCGUUUGAGCUUGGAAAUCGAGAUUCGCCAUCAGAAAUUGGGAUUUGCCGGCUCACCUAUAAUGGCACCUCAGCACAGAUGAAUUGGGAUUUGGUAAGCAUGCUUUUGGUGUGCGUGCGGCUGAAUCUAAUCAAGUA